GACUCCGUAGCUCAGCUGGUAGAGCAAUUGACUCUUAAUCAAUGGGUCGAGGGUUCGAGUCCCUCCGGGGUCA
This 73-nucleotide transfer RNA is filed under the name Proteiniphilum sp. RNAcentral describes it as "tRNA-Lys". It matches the Rfam family "tRNA". Rfam says of the family: Transfer RNA (tRNA) molecules are approximately 80 nucleotides in length. Their secondary structure includes four short double-helical elements and three loops (D, anti-codon, and T loops). The record is from RNAcentral. RNAcentral also lists the same sequence under 2 other names. Lineage: Bacteria; Pseudomonadati; Bacteroidota; Bacteroidia; Bacteroidales; Dysgonomonadaceae.